CACGGGGUUGCGAGCGUUGUCCGGAAUUACUAGGCGUAAAGGGCAGGCAGGCGGAUCCAUAAGUUUAUCGUUUAAAGCGUCGGCUUAACCGGCGUAGGGCGGUAGAUACUGUGGAUCUGGAAUGCGGUUGGGGAAGACAGAAUUCCUGGUGUAGCGGUGGAAUGCGCAGAGAUCAGGAGGAAUACCGAAGGCGAAGGCAGUCUUCCAAGCCGUUAUUGACGCUCAACUGCGAAGGUGUGGGUAUCAAACAGGAUUAGAUACCCGCGUAGUCCCUGA
This 276-nucleotide ribosomal RNA is filed under the name uncultured prokaryote. Its description in RNAcentral is "partial 16S ribosomal RNA". It matches the Rfam family "Bacterial small subunit ribosomal RNA", at positions 524 to 800 of the family's 1533-position model. The record is from RNAcentral.